UAGGGAAUCUUCGGCAAUGGACGGAAGUCUGACCGAGCAACGCCGCGUGAGUGAAGAAGGUUUUCGGAUCGUAAAGCUCUGUUGUUAGGGAAGAACGUUGGUAGGAGUGGAAAAUCUACCAAGUGACGGUAACUAACCAGAAAGGGACGGCUAACUACGUGCCAGCUGCCGCGGUAAUACGUAGGUCCCGAGCGUUGUCCGGAUUUAUUGGGCGUAAAGCGAGCGCAGGCGGUUCUUUAAGUCUGAAGUUAAAGGCAGUGGCUUAACCAUUGUACGCUUUGGAAACUGGAGGACUUGAGUGCAGAAGGGGAGAGUGGAAUUCCAUGUGUAGCGGUGAAAUGCGUAGAUAUAUGGAGGAACACCGGUGGCGAAAGCGGCUCUCUGGUCUGUAACUGACGCUGAGGCUCGAAAGCGUGGGGAGCAAACAGG
Molecule: ribosomal RNA, 429 nt
Filed under: Bacillota bacterium
Lineage: Bacteria; Bacillati; Bacillota
Description: Firmicutes bacterium partial 16S ribosomal RNA
Rfam family: Bacterial small subunit ribosomal RNA
Source: RNAcentral